This is a non-coding RNA of Equus caballus (horse), 742 nucleotides long. The record is from RefSeq and is a predicted model, not a curated record. NCBI's taxonomy places the organism in Eukaryota, Metazoa, Chordata, Mammalia, Perissodactyla, Equidae.
GACGGAGGCAGCCACGGGUCACGGACCCCGGGCUCCCCGGAGGCCAGCCGAGCCCCCUGGGGGCCGGGGCUCGUGGACGUUCUGCUGAAAGCCCUUCCUAGGGCAGCCGCUCCCCGCAAGCUUAUUUGGAGGAAUCGGCUUCAUGCAAAUAUUCCGUGAGUGAUGCUGAUUUUCUCAGUUCUGCCCCUCUCGCUCCACCCGCUGCAGGCUCGGUCCCCUCCAGACGCUUCCGCCGCCUCCUCUCUGCUCCCGGCAGGCGCAGGCUCAGCCCCACGGCAGGGCCUUUGCACUGCCGGCCCUCCCUUUCCCCAGAUGCCCCAGGGGCUCCUGCGUCACCUCCUUCCCGGCUCUAGGGUCAAGGUCAGCGUGAACUGUCUAUCCUGCUCCCCCGGUAGCCCAGCAUCUCGGCGCACAGGAGGACCUCAGUAAGUGCUCGUGGGAUGGGGAGACGGGGACAAAUAACGCCCCUCGUAAAAACCCUUUCCAAUGAGAAUGCAGUUGUUGGCUGUCAUCAGAAAGAAAAAAUUCCUAGAGCUCUAAAUCCAUAUUGUUUUUUGUCUAUAUUCAAGAGGAAUAUUCCUCCAAAGAAAUUGGGGGGAAAUUGGUGAAUUUCGCUGAAUGGUCAUUUGGCGCAUUAAUCUUCAGCAAUCCGACCUUUGGUGACUCUCUCUCCAGCCUCGGUUUCUCCAUCUUGGAAUGGAGACAGCCGUCUCCACGCCACGGGAGUCGAGUUGCUGAGACA